Long non-coding RNA from Panicum virgatum (switchgrass), 439 nucleotides. RefSeq lists it as uncharacterized. The record is from RefSeq and is a predicted model, not a curated record. Lineage: Eukaryota; Viridiplantae; Streptophyta; Magnoliopsida; Poales; Poaceae. The transcript has 2 exons.
AACCAGCCUCCGCAAUGAGCCCCCGCGUCCCGCGACGGCGACGAAGAGCUGCGCCCGCGACCCUUCGAGAUCCAGCAACGGCGAGCCCUGGCCGGCUGUCCGCCCGAGGAGUGGAACUGUGGAAGACGCGCAUGCCUGAUGUCUUGGCGCGCGACAACGGCGUUGCGUCCACCGCGGCGGCCGGAUGGUUAGGGGCGCGGCAGCAGCAGCACCUCCUCUGCCGACCAGAUGCCUUCAUGGAGGACAACAAGCUCAAGCAGUGGUAGUGCUAGUAUAGGAUCUGCAUCCUCAACACCUACUGAUAUUAGAGCUCCCCUGUGGGAUCAUGUCACAAUAUUGGAAAAGGCAAAAUCAGGUGGAGGCAAUACUUUAUGGAAAUGCAAUUAGUCAAUUACUGUCCAAUGAGCAAAGCCACUAGCUAUACUAGAGUUGAGGCUCA